UACGUAGGUGGCAAGCGUUGUCCGGAUUUACUGGGCGUAAAGGGCGUGCAGGCGGUUUGUUAAGUUCAGGGUGAAAGCUCCCGGCUCAACUGGGAGAGGUCCUUGGAUACUGGCAGACUUGAGGAGGGUAGAGGAGAGUGGAAUUCCCGGUGUAGUGGUGAUAUGCGUAGAUAUCGGGAGGAACACCAGUGGCGAAGGCGGCUCUCUGGGCCCUACCUGACGCUGAGACGCGAAAGCGUGGGGAGCAAACAGG
This 253-nucleotide ribosomal RNA is filed under the name uncultured bacterium. Its description in RNAcentral is "partial 16S ribosomal RNA". It matches the Rfam family "Bacterial small subunit ribosomal RNA", at positions 524 to 776 of the family's 1533-position model. The record is from RNAcentral.